AUUGAACGCUGGCGGCAGGCCUAACACAUGCAAGUCGAGCGGAUGAAGGGAGCUUGCUCCUGGAUUCAGCGGCGGACGGGUGAGUAAUGCCUAGGAAUCUGCCUGGUAGUGGGGGAUAACGUCCGGAAACGGGCGCUAAUACCGCAUACGUCCUGAGGGAGAAAGUGGGGGAUCUUCGGACCUCACGCUAUCAGAUGAGCCUAGGUCGGAUUAGCUAGUUGGUGGGGUAAAGGCCUACCAAGGCGACGAUCCGUAACUGGUCUGAGAGGAUGAUCAGUCACACUGGAACUGAGCCACGGUCCAGACUUCUACGGGAGGCAGCGGUGGGGAAUAUUGGCCAAUGGGCGAAAGCCUGAUCCAGCCAUGCCGCGUGUGUGAAGAAGGUCUUCGGAUUGUAAAGCACUUUAAGUUGGGAGGAAGGGCAGUAAGUUAAUACCUUGCUGUUUUGACGCUACCAACAGAAUAAGCACCGGCUAACUUCGUG
Molecule: ribosomal RNA, 484 nt
Filed under: uncultured bacterium
Lineage: Bacteria
Description: partial 16S ribosomal RNA
Rfam family: Bacterial small subunit ribosomal RNA
Source: RNAcentral